This 431-nucleotide ribosomal RNA is filed under the name uncultured bacterium. RNAcentral's name for it is "partial 16S ribosomal RNA". It matches the Rfam family "Bacterial small subunit ribosomal RNA", at positions 29 to 507 of the family's 1533-position model. The record is from RNAcentral.
AGCGAACACUGGCGGCGGGCUUAACACAUGCAAGUCGAGCGCCCCGCCAGGGGAGCGGCAGACGGGAGAGUAACACGUGGGAACAUACCUUUUGGUUCGGAACAACUGAGGGAAACUUCAGCUAAUACCGGAUAAGCCCUUACGGGGAAAGAUUUAUCGCCGAAAGAUUGGCCCGCGUCUGAUUAGCUAGUUGGUGAGGUAACGGCCCACCAAGGCGACGAUCAGUAGCUGGUCUGAGAGGAUGAUCAGCCUCACUGGGACUGAGACACGGCCCAGACUCCUACGGGAGGCAGCAGUGGGGAAUAUUGGACAAUGGGGGCAACCCUGAUCCAGCCAUGCCGCGUGAGUGAUGAAGGCCUUAGGGUUGUAAAGCUCUUUUGCCCGGGAAGAUAAUGACGGUACCGGGAGAAUAAGCCCCGGCUAACUUCGUG